CGUUCGGGAACCACCUGAUCCCAUGCCGAACUCAGCAGUGAAACCGCUCAGCGCCGAUGGUAGUGUGGGGUCUCCCCAUGCGAGAGUAGGUCAUCGUCA
Molecule: ribosomal RNA, 99 nt
Filed under: Halomonas chromatireducens
Lineage: Bacteria; Pseudomonadati; Pseudomonadota; Gammaproteobacteria; Oceanospirillales; Halomonadaceae
Source: RNAcentral